This 73-nucleotide transfer RNA is filed under the name Coriobacteriaceae bacterium EMTCatB1. It matches the Rfam family "tRNA". From Rfam's summary of the family: Transfer RNA (tRNA) molecules are approximately 80 nucleotides in length. Their secondary structure includes four short double-helical elements and three loops (D, anti-codon, and T loops). Further hydrogen bonds mediate the characteristic L-shaped molecular structure. tRNAs have two regions of fundamental functional importance: the anti-codon, which is responsible for specific mRNA codon recognition, and the 3' end, to which the tRNAs corresponding amino acid is attached (by aminoacyl-tRNA synthetases). tRNAs cope with the degeneracy of the genetic code in two manners: having more than one tRNA (with a specific anti-codon) for a particular amino acid; and 'wobble' base-pairing, i.e. permitting non-standard base-pairing at the 3rd anti-codon position. The record is from Rfam by way of RNAcentral. Lineage: Bacteria; Bacillati; Actinomycetota; Coriobacteriia; Coriobacteriales; Coriobacteriaceae.
GGCCAGGUAGCUCAGUUGGUAGAGCAGGGGACUGAAAAUCCCCGUGUCGGCGGUUCAAGUCCGUCUCUGGCCA